This 70-nucleotide transfer RNA is filed under the name Dendropoma corrodens (ringed wormsnail). Its description in RNAcentral is "tRNA-Val". It matches the Rfam family "tRNA". Rfam says of the family: Transfer RNA (tRNA) molecules are approximately 80 nucleotides in length. Their secondary structure includes four short double-helical elements and three loops (D, anti-codon, and T loops). Further hydrogen bonds mediate the characteristic L-shaped molecular structure. tRNAs have two regions of fundamental functional importance: the anti-codon, which is responsible for specific mRNA codon recognition, and the 3' end, to which the tRNAs corresponding amino acid is attached (by aminoacyl-tRNA synthetases). tRNAs cope with the degeneracy of the genetic code in two manners: having more than one tRNA (with a specific anti-codon) for a particular amino acid; and 'wobble' base-pairing, i.e. permitting non-standard base-pairing at the 3rd anti-codon position. Lineage: Eukaryota; Metazoa; Mollusca; Gastropoda; Littorinimorpha; Vermetidae. The record is from RNAcentral.
GGCGGUGUAGCAUAGUUAUAAUGCGCUUCAUUUACAUUGAAGAUGAUCUUUUAAUUAGAAAGCGUUGCCU